RNAcentral lists this ribosomal RNA (1374 nucleotides) under Staphylococcus saprophyticus. RNAcentral's name for it is "bacterial SSU rRNA". It matches the Rfam family "Bacterial small subunit ribosomal RNA", at positions 78 to 1436 of the family's 1533-position model. Lineage: Bacteria; Bacillati; Bacillota; Bacilli; Caryophanales; Staphylococcaceae. The record is from RNAcentral.
GCUUGCUCCUUUGACGUUAGCGGCGGACGGGUGAGUAACACGUGGGUAACCUACCUAUAAGACUGGGAUAACUUCGGGAAACCGGAGCUAAUACCGGAUAACAUUUGGAACCGCAUGGUUCUAAAGUGAAAGAUGGUUUUGCUAUCACUUAUAGAUGGACCCGCGCCGUAUUAGCUAGUUGGUAAGGUAACGGCUUACCAAGGCGACGAUACGUAGCCGACCUGAGAGGGUGAUCGGCCACACUGGAACUGAGACACGGUCCAGACUCCUACGGGAGGCAGCAGUAGGGAAUCUUCCGCAAUGGGCGAAAGCCUGACGGAGCAACGCCGCGUGAGUGAUGAAGGGUUUCGGCUCGUAAAACUCUGUUAUUAGGGAAGAACAAACGUGUAAGUAACUGUGCACGUCUUGACGGUACCUAAUCAGAAAGCCACGGCUAACUACGUGCCAGCAGCCGCGGUAAUACGUAGGUGGCAAGCGUUAUCCGGAAUUAUUGGGCGUAAAGCGCGCGUAGGCGGUUUCUUAAGUCUGAUGUGAAAGCCCACGGCUCAACCGUGGAGGGUCAUUGGAAACUGGGAAACUUGAGUGCAGAAGAGGAAAGUGGAAUUCCAUGUGUAGCGGUGAAAUGCGCAGAGAUAUGGAGGAACACCAGUGGCGAAGGCGACUUUCUGGUCUGUAACUGACGCUGAUGUGCGAAAGCGUGGGGAUCAAACAGGAUUAGAUACCCUGGUAGUCCACGCCGUAAACGAUGAGUGCUAAGUGUUAGGGGGUUUCCGCCCCUUAGUGCUGCAGCUAACGCAUUAAGCACUCCGCCUGGGGAGUACGACCGCAAGGUUGAAACUCAAAGGAAUUGACGGGGACCCGCACAAGCGGUGGAGCAGGUGGUUUAAUUCGAAGCAACGCGAAGAACCUUACCAAAUCUUGACAUCCUUUGAAAACUCUAGAGAUAGAGCCUUCCCCUUCGGGGGACAAAGUGACAGGUGGUGCAUGGUUGUCGUCAGCUCGUGUCGUGAGAUGUUGGGUUAAGUCCCGCAACGAGCGCAACCCUUAAGCUUAGUUGCCAUCAUUAAGUUGGGCACUCUAGGUUGACUGCCGGUGACAAACCGGAGGAAGGUGGGGAUGACGUCAAAUCAUCAUGCCCCUUAUGAUUUGGGCUACACACGUGCUACAAUGGACAAUACAAAGGGCAGCUAAACCGCGAGGUCAUGCAAAUCCCAUAAAGUUGUUCUCAGUUCGGAUUGUAGUCUGCAACUCGACUACAUGAAGCUGGAAUCGCUAGUAAUCGUAGAUCAGCAUGCUACGGUGAAUACGUUCCCGGGUCUUGUACACACCGCCCGUCACACCACGAGAGUUUGUAACACCCGAAGCCGGUGGAGU